Molecule: RNA transcript, 1452 nt
Organism: Rhinopithecus roxellana (golden snub-nosed monkey)
Lineage: Eukaryota; Metazoa; Chordata; Mammalia; Primates; Cercopithecidae
Gene: TGFBR3L
Gene name: transforming growth factor beta receptor 3 like
Exons: 5
Source: RefSeq, a predicted model, not a curated record
CCUCGGAGGCUUCUCUAGGGGCUCAUGGCUCUGCAACCCGCUCAGCUGCUGGGCUGUGCGGGUCCCAGGGGUCGCCAGGGGGCACAUCACCGUCAGGGGAAACGUGGCGCGGAGCCCGUCAUGGGUGAAUCCGCCGCCGCAACUGCAUCCCUUUCCCAAAGGCGGCGGCGGGGGCGAGGUGGUCGGGUCACUUUUCCCAGAGGCCUAAAGGGCAGCGCGCGUUUUCUCUCUGGGCCGCCCUUCCCCUCCCCCCACCUCCCGCCAGCACCCCCGUUCCCCGCGGCCCCCGGCCCCUGGUUGCGCAGACCCCUCUUCAGUCUGAAGCUGUCUGACACAGAGGACGUCUUUCCGCGCCGCGCGGGGCCGCUCGAGGUCCCGGCCGACAGCCGCGUGUUCGUGCAGGCGGCCUUGGCCCGUCCCUCCCCGCGCUGGGGCCUGGCCCUGCACCGCUGCUCAGUGACGCCGUCCUCACGCCCGGCCCCGGGGCCCGCCCUGGCUCUGCUGCACGAGGGCUGCCCCGCCGACACCUCUGUCGCCUUCCCGCCACCGCCGCCUCCGAGCCCGGGUGCCACCCGCCCCGCGCGCUUCAGCUUCCGCCUGCGCCCGGUCUUCAACGCCUCGGUGCAGUUCCUGCACUGCCAGCUGAGCCGCUGCCGCCGCCUCCGGGGAGUCCGCCGGGCGCCUGCGCCUCUGACGCCGCCGCCGCCGCCAUCGCGGGUGCGCGGGCGCAGAGCUUGGAAUCCGAGCGCCGGGGUCCUUCGGGGACUGGGCACGAGCGACUCUGGCAGUGGAAAGGGGAUACUCUCGGGGUCCGAGGAUCUGGAGUGUCUGCCUCAGGACGAGGCGUGCGCCGGCACUGGCAGUGGCAGCGCCGAGGGUCUGGCUGCCGACGGCCCCCACCUGCACACGCUGACGCAGCCUAUCGUGGUCACUGUGCCGCGGCCGCCCCCCAGGCCGCCCAAGAGUGUCCCCGGCCGCGCCGUGCGCCCUGAGCCUCCCGCGCCGGCCCCUGCGGCCCUGGAACCCGCGCCGGUGGUGGCGCUGGUGUUGGCAGCCUUCGUGCUGGGCGCCGCACUGGCCGCCGGGCUGGGCCUCGUCUGUGCGCACUCAGGUACCGACCUCCGCCAAGCCGGGCCCCCAGUCUAAUCCCGCGCGUCGGGACCCGGGGCGACGCGAUCCCGCCUGUGGGGCCUGAUCAGCCCUAGCUAGGCCUGCCUCCGCGAUGCCCGCAGCAGCCCCCAGAGGCCGCCCUUAGCCUGGCGUGGCGCGCAGCAGCCCUUCUGCAGCUCUCCUCUACUUCCAGCGCCCCCGGCUCCCGGGCCGCCCGCGAGAGCCUCGCCCAGCGGUCCCCAGCCCAGGAGGCCCCAGUGAGGAAGACCGAUGGAAGAGGCCAGUGGUCUGCUGGGAAGGGAGGUGGCCCCUCCCUUGCUGAGCCUCAGCCACCCCUCCCAG